This 428-nucleotide ribosomal RNA is filed under the name uncultured bacterium. RNAcentral's name for it is "partial 16S ribosomal RNA". It matches the Rfam family "Bacterial small subunit ribosomal RNA", at positions 354 to 796 of the family's 1533-position model. The record is from RNAcentral.
GUGGGGAAUAUUGGGCAAUGGGGGCAACCCUGACCCAGCAACGCCGCGUGAGGGAAGAAGGUUUUCGGAUUGUAAACCUCUGUCCUAUGGGAAGAAGGAAGUGACGGUACCAUAGGAGGAAGCCCCGGCUAACUACGUGCCAGCAGCCGCGGUAAUACGUAGGGGGCGAGCGUUGUCCGGAAUUACUGGGCGUAAAGGGUGCGCAGGUGGCCUGACAAGUCAGAUGUGAAAUACCGAUGCUUAACGUCGGGGCUGCAUUUGAAACUAUGAGGCUGGAGUGCAGGAGAGGGAAGCGGAAUUCCCCGUGUAGCGGUGAAAUGCGUAGAUAUGGGGAGGAACACCAGUGGCGAAGGCGGCUUUCUGGACGGUGUCUGACACUGAGGCGCGAAAGCUAGGGGAGCGAACGGGAUUAGAUACCCCAGUAGUCC